AGAGCGAACGCUGGCGGCAGGCUUAACACAUGCAAGUCGAGCGCCCGUAGCAAUACGGGAGCGGCAGACGGGAUAGUAACACGUGGGAACGCGCCCUUCGGUUCGGAAUAACUCAGGGAAACUUGAGCUAAUACCGGAUACGCCCUUACGGGGAAAGAUUUAUUGCCGAAGGAACGGCCCGCGUCCGAUUAGCUAGUUGGUGAGGUAAUGGCUCACCAAGGCGACGAUCGGUAGCUGGUCUGAGAGGAUGAUCAGCCACAUUGGGACUGAGACACGGCCCAAACUCCUACGGGAGGCAGCAGUGGGGAAUAUUGGACAAUGGGCGAAAGCCUGAUCCAGCCAUGCCGCGUGAGUGAUGACGGCCUUAGGGUUGUAAGGCUCUUUCGUCAGGGACGAUAAUGACGGUACCUGAAGAAGAAGCCCCGGCUAACUUCGUGCCAGCAGCCGC
RNAcentral lists this ribosomal RNA (448 nucleotides) under uncultured bacterium. RNAcentral describes it as "SSU rRNA". It matches the Rfam family "Bacterial small subunit ribosomal RNA", at positions 26 to 518 of the family's 1533-position model. The record is from RNAcentral.